This 445-nucleotide ribosomal RNA is filed under the name uncultured bacterium. Its description in RNAcentral is "partial 16S ribosomal RNA". It matches the Rfam family "Bacterial small subunit ribosomal RNA", at positions 354 to 796 of the family's 1533-position model. The record is from RNAcentral.
GUGAGGAAUAUUGGUCAAUGGGCGCAAGCCUGAACCAGCCAUGCCGCGUGCAGGAAGACGGUCCUAUGGAUUGUAAACUGCUUUUAUUUGGGAAUAAACUCCGGUACGUGUACCGGCCUGAAGGUACCAAAUGAAUAAGCACCGGCUAACUCCGUGCCAGCAGCCGCGGUAAUACGGAGGGUGCAAGCGUUAUCCGGAAUCAUUGGGUUUAAAGGGUCCGCAGGCGGUCUUAUAAGUCAGUGGUGAAAGCAUACAGCUCAACUGUAGAACUGCCAUUGAUACUGUAGGACUUGAAUUCGAUCGAAGUGGGUGGAAUGUGACAUGUAGCGGUGAAAUGCUUAGAUAUGUCACAGAACACCGAUAGCGAAGGCAGCUCACUAGGUCUGGAUUGACGCUCAGGGACGAAAGCGUGGGGAGCAAACAGGAUUAGAAACCCCAGUAGUCC